RNAcentral lists this unclassified non-coding RNA (347 nucleotides) under Linnemannia gamsii. Its description in RNAcentral is "sequence contains 5.8S rRNA gene". The stretch from base 1 to 53 matches the Rfam family "5.8S ribosomal RNA", at positions 102 to 154 of the family's 154-position model. The record is from RNAcentral. Lineage: Eukaryota; Fungi; Mortierellomycota; Mortierellomycetes; Mortierellales; Mortierellaceae.
GAACGCAUAUUGCGCUCUUUGGUAUUCCGAAGAGCAUGCUUGUUUGAGUAUCAGUAAACACCUCAAAACUUUUUUUUAUUUUUUGAAAAACAGUUUUGGACUUGAGCAAUCCCAACACCAAUCUUUUUUAGAUCGGUGGCGGGUUGCUUGAAAUGCAGGUGCAGCUGGACAUUCUCCUGAGCUAAAAGCAUAUUUAUUUAGUCCCGUCAAACGGAUUAUUACUUUUGCUGCAGCUAAUAUAAAGGGAGUUUGACCGUUUUGGCUGACUGAUGCAGGAUUUCACAAGGGUCGGCAACGAUUCUUGUAAAACUCGAUCUCAAAUCAAGUAAGACUACCCGCUGAACUUA